CUGAGAACGAUUCUUCGGAUGAAGUCUCUUGUGACUGAGUGGCGGACGGGUGAGUAACGCGUGGGUAACCUGCCUCACACAGGGGGAUAACAGUUGGAAACGACCGCUAAUACCGCAUAACCCGCUGGUGCCGCAUGGCACUGACGGAAAAGAUUUAUCGGUGUGAGAUGGACCCGCGUCUGAUUAGCCAGUUGGCAGGGUAACGGCCUACCAAAGCGACGAUCAGUAGCCGGCCUGAGAGGGUGAACGGCCACAUUGGGACUGAGACACGGCCCAGACUCCUGCGGGAGGCAGCAGUGGGGAAUAUUGCACAAUGGGGGAAACCCUGAUGCAGCGACGCCGCGUGAGUGAAGAAGUAUUUCGGUAUGUAAAGCUCUAUCAGCAGGGAAGAAAAUGACGGUACCUGAUUAAGAAGCCCCGGCUAACUACGUGCCAGCAGCCGCGGUAAUACGUAGGGGGCAAGCGUUAUCCGGAUUUACUGGGUGUAAAGGGAGCGUAGACGGUGAUGCAAGUCAGAAGUGAAAGCCCGGGGCUCAACUCCGGGACUGCUUUUGAAACUGUGUAACUGGAGUGCAGGAGAGGUAAGCGGAAUUCCUGGUGUAGCGGUGAAAUGCGUAGAUACCAGGAGGAACACCAGUGGCGAAGGCGGCUUACUGGACUGUAACUGACGUUGAGGCUCGAAAGCGUGGGGAGC
RNAcentral lists this ribosomal RNA (694 nucleotides) under uncultured bacterium. RNAcentral describes it as "bacterial SSU rRNA". It matches the Rfam family "Bacterial small subunit ribosomal RNA", at positions 66 to 769 of the family's 1533-position model. The record is from RNAcentral.